RNAcentral lists this transfer RNA (85 nucleotides) under Felis catus (domestic cat). It matches the Rfam family "tRNA". Rfam says of the family: Transfer RNA (tRNA) molecules are approximately 80 nucleotides in length. Their secondary structure includes four short double-helical elements and three loops (D, anti-codon, and T loops). Further hydrogen bonds mediate the characteristic L-shaped molecular structure. tRNAs have two regions of fundamental functional importance: the anti-codon, which is responsible for specific mRNA codon recognition, and the 3' end, to which the tRNAs corresponding amino acid is attached (by aminoacyl-tRNA synthetases). tRNAs cope with the degeneracy of the genetic code in two manners: having more than one tRNA (with a specific anti-codon) for a particular amino acid; and 'wobble' base-pairing, i.e. permitting non-standard base-pairing at the 3rd anti-codon position. The record is from Rfam by way of RNAcentral. Lineage: Eukaryota; Metazoa; Chordata; Mammalia; Carnivora; Felidae.
GCCUGAGUGGCUUAGUUGGUCGAGUAUCCGACUUUGGCUCAGGUCAUGAUCUCACAGUCUGUGAGUUCGAGUCCCAUCCCGGGCU